AAAGCCUCUUGAUUGGUCUCCGCAGUACAUUCGCUUGCCUGGCUCGUUUUUGUCGAUAUUAUCCACUGUUGCAAUGGAGAACUUUGCGUGAGGUAUCUCACUGUUCAUUCCGAGCUCUGAUUUCUUAUCAAUGAUGGCCUUUUGAUAUCGCUUGUAGGAGUCGACACCUGCUGUUGCGCCGACUCAAGCUAGUACUCGCAUGAGCUCGCUGGAAUUGCUAUGUGCAUCCACGGCCACAAAGUCCGAAAGAACAAGCUGGAAAGGUGUGUGCUGGGUUUCAUUUUGUGCUCUGUGUUUCAGGGUCUCGGAUCGUGCAACGGCGAGGGAAUGGUAUAAGCACAGAACUGUGUCACACCAUGUACGGUACAGGAGCGUACCUCGUUUCUUACUGGUACCAUAUGACCCAUGGCUAAGAUGAGCGCCAAGCUUCAAAAAGGCUGGACAGUAGCCACCGGUUGUUGCAGUUGAUGGAUGGUAAAGAAGAGGUGAAGAAAUCAGCAGCCGUUGCGAGAAGAAGAGAACGGUUCUCGAGGAAUGCAAGACAGACGAAUCUUGCUGUUGCCAGCAAUGCGGACUCCUCGGGUGAGGUGCACUGGUGCAUUUCGUCUGUUAUACUCUGCAUCAGGCUCUCCAGCUUGAAGUCAGUAGUCUGACUGUCCACCAUAUCCAGUUGGCCUUUAUAUGGCUAGGCAAAAAAGCACUAUCCGCGGUGGCCGUAAGACCACGCUCAGCGUGCAGCUGACGUUGAACAGCUGCGACGUUUGGACAUUUACGCUUAAUUACCACCCCUUAUUUGUGCGCUCCACAUGGUGCAUGUGGGCCUGUUGCUGUCAUGUAUCUGCAUGUUAUGCCGGUUGCAGAGACCCGCUGGCUGAUCGUUUAAACUGCUUGUAAUGAAAGUCUACUGCUCUCCUGUUUGUAAUGAAACUGUGACAUGCCGUGGCAAGUCACAACCAUCUCUUCCGCACCGCUACUGUCUGGAAUGCCUUGCCCGCAGACCUGAGAGCCACAGCCUCGCAGUCCCUGUUUCACAGUCACAUUUGCACGCACUUCUCUGACACCAAACACAAUGCCACUCCUCACUGACAUGCCUCUGUCCUCCUUCUUUGAGCGUUGCGCUUAUUCUUAUUAAUUUUUGUGUUUCUGUUUCGGUACAUUUCGUAUUUCAAGGCAUAUCCCGAGGCUAUAGGUAUCAUUGAGUAAAGGACCAUUCUGGAACAUUCAGCAUAAUUGUAUUUCUCUUGCUAGGCUGUUCAUUACGAAUCAUUAGCCCUCCACUGUCUGCUAUCUCAACCCUACAGCCUCCCAUUAUAAUGGAACUCCCUUCAAUUUAGA
Long non-coding RNA from Sycon ciliatum, 1335 nucleotides. RefSeq lists it as uncharacterized. The record is from RefSeq and is a predicted model, not a curated record. NCBI's taxonomy places the organism in Eukaryota, Metazoa, Porifera, Calcarea, Leucosolenida, Sycettidae. The transcript is spliced from 2 exons.